Molecule: long non-coding RNA, 1075 nt
Filed under: Ficedula albicollis (Collared flycatcher)
Lineage: Eukaryota; Metazoa; Chordata; Aves; Passeriformes; Muscicapidae
Description: lncRNA (ENSFALG00000027768.1)
Source: RNAcentral
CAGGGCUAAGAAAUCAUUAUGACAGGUGUACACAGACAAGUAGGUCCAUAAGGACUGCACAUCUGACUCUCCUCAGGGCAAUAUUGCAAAUGUAAGCUAUGCAUGACACCUUAAGGGGAAAGAAAUACCUUUCAAACAGCCUACCAGUGCAAUAACUGUGUGUUGCAGGAACCACUGAAUAAAUUUUCUGCAGUGAAAUUCCUCAGUGAGCUUCGAUUACAUAGGGAUAGUACUAAUCCCUACAUGUCCACACUUGACACCUUACAUUGGCAAUAUUACAUGGACCUACUAUAUAAGUUUGAAAGUCUUUCACACAUCAAGAUCCAUUAGAAUCUCUUCUCUUUGUAGGAUGAAGCAAUGAUGUUUCCUCACUCAAAGUUCAUUUAAGCUCUCAGUGUACACACAGUUAUACUAAUACCAUAGAAUGUGGUAUUCCAUCAUUGCAGUGUCCCGAAGAUGAGACCUGGCCUGGAAGGCUGUCUGGAUGGGGAACAGAACCAUUUUUGCAACAAAAUUUGGAAGAUGAGAACCUGAUGGAAACUGCAGUGCUGAUGCUACUGGGAUCACACACAGAUGCAUUCCCUUCGAGUGUGACUGUCCUGCAAAUCAGAGUGCUCAUUUUUAAUUAAAGUGCAAAAAAGAAACACUGGGAAUGAUGUUAAAUUGUUUUGAUUUGACCUAUCCUGGAUUCAUGGUUACGCCUCUUAGUUAGCAAUUUGUUACUGCAUUUAUGAAAAAGAAAGAAUUCAGGAGCUAAAACCAGAAUUUGGAACAGUUGUUUUGAUUCUGAAUAGCUGCUCUGUUUAAUCAUCCACCUCUUAUUGUCAGCAAGCAUUUUUGUGAUAAAGAUGCUGCUCAUAUAUGCACAUGAGCAAUGUCUUCUCACGGAGACUCUCUUAUUUGCCUGCAAACAUUUCUGUGGACUAUUCUUUCUUGAUUGUAUACUGUUCCUGGGAGAUUUAUUGUAGUCCUGAUUAACCAUUCUCAACCAAGCAGUCAGCAGGCAUCAGACAGCCUGCAGGAUGAACUGACCCAACACAGAAUGCAGACUGUGGAUGAAGACAUGCACAAUACU